AAUGAUGUAGCUCAACGGUAGAGCGUGGGAAUCAUAAUCCUAAUGUUGUAGGUUCAAAUCCUACUAUCAUUA
RNAcentral lists this transfer RNA (72 nucleotides) under Plasmopara halstedii. It matches the Rfam family "tRNA". Rfam says of the family: Transfer RNA (tRNA) molecules are approximately 80 nucleotides in length. Their secondary structure includes four short double-helical elements and three loops (D, anti-codon, and T loops). Lineage: Eukaryota; Oomycota; Peronosporomycetes; Peronosporales; Peronosporaceae. The record is from Rfam by way of RNAcentral.